UACGUAGGGUGCAAGCGUUGUCCGGAAUUAUUGGGCGUAAAGAGCUCGUAGGCGGUUUGUCGAGUCGGAUGUGAAAACCCGGGGCUCAACUCCGGGCCUGCAUUCGAUACGGGCAGACUAGAGUUCGGUAGGGGAGGCUGGAAUUCCUGGUGUAGCGGUGAAAUGCGCAGAUAUCAGGAGGAACACCGGUGGCGAAGGCGGGUCUCUGGGCCGAUACUGACGCUGAGGAGCGAAAGCGUGGGGAGCGAACAGG
This 253-nucleotide ribosomal RNA is filed under the name uncultured bacterium. RNAcentral describes it as "partial 16S ribosomal RNA". It matches the Rfam family "Bacterial small subunit ribosomal RNA", at positions 524 to 776 of the family's 1533-position model. The record is from RNAcentral.